GAUGGAACGCAGCAAAAUGCGAUAAGUAAUGUGAAUUGCAGAAUUCAGUGAAUCAUCGAAUCUUUGAACGCACAUUGCGCCCGCUGGUAUUCCGGCGGGCAUGCCUGUUCGAGCGUCAUUUCAACCCUCAAGCCCCCGGGUUUGGUGUUGGGGAUCGGCUCUGCCCUUCUGGGCGGUGCCGCCCCCGAAAUACAUUGGCGGUCUCGCUGCAGCCUCCAUUGCGUAGUAGCUAACACCUCGCAACUGGAACGCGGCGCGGCCAUGCCGUAAAACCCCAACUUCUGAAUGUUGACCUCGGAUCAGGUAGGAAUACCCGCUGAACUUAAGCAUAUCAAUAAGCGGAGGA
This 346-nucleotide unclassified non-coding RNA is filed under the name soil metagenome. RNAcentral's name for it is "partial contains 5.8S ribosomal RNA, internal transcribed spacer 2, and large subunit ribosomal RNA". The stretch from base 4 to 118 matches the Rfam family "5.8S ribosomal RNA", at positions 40 to 154 of the family's 154-position model. The record is from RNAcentral.